Long non-coding RNA from Antechinus flavipes (yellow-footed antechinus), 3295 nucleotides. RefSeq lists it as uncharacterized. The record is from RefSeq and is a predicted model, not a curated record. NCBI's taxonomy places the organism in Eukaryota, Metazoa, Chordata, Mammalia, Dasyuromorphia, Dasyuridae. The transcript is spliced from 3 exons.
UUCAUAGAAGUCAGGUUAGGAAGCCCAGUACUAGACUGGGAGCUCCUUGAGGGCAGGGCAGGGGCUUGCUUGCUUUUGCAGUUCUAACCCCAACCUGGCACUUGACUGGUAAAUACUUAGUGAACACUCAUUCAAACCUUCCUCCAUGCUUUUAUUCUGGGGGCCAAGAAGUAGCCAAGAGCUCUUAAGCGUGUCACCUGAGUCUGAGUCUUUAAGGUCUGUCCCUGCCACAAAGGGGCCACCUGACUGGGUCUAUUACGUGAUCUAAUUUCCUCCAGCUUCCCCAGCUACCCAGGUGGCAAUAUCCUGCCUCCUACGGUGUGUCAACUUUGGGUUAUUGGACUUGGCGAUAGCCAUCUCCUCUCGGAGGCGCUAAUGAAGUCUGCGGGAUGAUCAUAAUCACUGAUGUUCCCAUAACGCUGUGGGCUGAGAAGCCCUCCCUCUACAUUAUCUCAUGCUGACCCACACAUCAGCCGGGGGCGGGGGGAGAGGGGGAAGCUCAGGUAUUAACUGAGUUAUUCUAGGCUUAUACUCUGUACAACUAACUCAUGGCCUUAAGAUGCGCUUCUGUCUUAUCUCAGGAAAAUGAAAAUCCCUUGAGGGGAGGGACUAUUUCUUGCCUCUUAGUAUUUGUGAAAGGUUGGUAGGACCUGUGAUUUCACUGAUACUCCCAAGUGAGCCUUCCUUUUACAGUGCAGUUCAGUUCCUGAUGCCUCGAUUUAUAACCUAGAACAAUACUAAUUAUAAUAAUAGCUACUAUUGAUGUAGUGUUUACUAUGUAGCAGGUGCUGUGCUAAAUGUUACCUCAUUUGAACAUUACAGUAACCCUGGGAGGUAGCUAUUAUUAUCUCCAUUAUACAAUCGAGGAAACUGAGGCAGGCAGAGAGUAACCCUGGGAAAUAGCUAUUAUUAUCUCCAUUAUACAAUCGAGGAAACUGAGGCAGACAGAGAGUAACCCUGGGAAGUAGCUAUUAUUAUCUCCAUUAUACAAUCGAGGAAACUGAGGCAGGCAGAGAGUAACCCUGGGAGGUAGCUAUUAUUAUCUCCAUUAUACAAUCGAGGAAACUGAGGCAGGCAGAGAGUAACCCUGGGAGGUAGCUAUUAUUAUCUCCAUUAUACAAUCGAGGAAACUGAGGCAGGCAGAGAGUAACCCUGGGAGGUAGCUAUUAUUAUUUCCAUUAUACAAUCGAGGAAACUGAGGCAGGCAGAGAGUAACCCUGGGAAAUAGCUAUUAUUAUCUCCAUUAUACAAUUGAAGAAACUGAGGCAGACAGAGAGUAACCCUGGGAUGUUAGCUAUUAUUAUCUCCAUUAUACAAUCGAAGAAACUGAGGCAGGCAGAGAGUAACCCUGGGAAAUAGCUAUUAUUAUCUCCAUUAUACAAUCGAGGAAACUGAGGCAGGCAGAGAGUAACCCUGGGAAAUAGCUAUUAUUAUCUCCAUUAUACAAUCGAGGAAACUGAGGCAGACAGAGAGUAACCCUGGGAGGUAGCUAUUAUUAUCUCCAUUAUACAAUCGAGGAAACUGAGGCAGGCAGAGAGUAACCCUGGGAGGUUAGCUAUUAUUAUCUCCAUUAUACAAUCGAGGAAACUGAGGCAGGCAGAGAGUAACUCUGGGAGGUAGCUAUUAUUAUCUCCAUUAUACAAUCAAGGAAACUGAGGCAGGCAGAGCUUAAGUGACUUGCCCAGCAUGUAAAGCAGAGACUAGAUUUGAACUCUAGGUCCAGUACUCUAUUCACUAUUCCAGUUUUCAGAGAAGUGGUUCCCAAUGUUUUUUGUUCUUCCAAUCCCUUUCAAUAACAACAACAAGAUAAUACCUCAGGGUAAUUUGAUAUACUAUUCAUAAUAUAUUUUUUUUGGUAUUAUUAUUGUUCAAGGCACCAUUAAAGUGUUUUAAGUGUGAAUACAUUGCCCAUCAUUCUGAACCGCAUCAAGGGGUUCAUGAAGCAUUCAAUGGGAGCCACUGAUCUAGACACACAAUGUAAGUGGGGAACAAACCCAGGUAUUUUUGAGUGCAAGGCUUGAGUCUGGCCCCAAGACCCCAAUCUCUUUCUGCUUAGCUCAUAGUAGAUGGUGAAUAAAUGAUCCAAAGUCAUUUGAAUGACCAAACUACAGGUAUUAGUGACAACUCCAGCCUCCCAGGUUCCCUGGAAUUAUAAGAGACUUUAUUACAAAUGCCAAAGAACUUAUGUUAUUCAACAUGUUACUCACCAUGGUACUUUCCUACUUCAACAAGCCUUCUCCAUUCCAUUUUCCUUUUUUCUUUCUUUUUUUCUUUUUUCUGAGGCAAUUGGGGUUAAGUGACUGCCCAGGGUCACACAGCUAGGAAGUGUUAAGUGUCUGAGACCAGACUUGCACUCAGGUCCUCCUGACUUCAGGGCUAGUGCCCUAUCCACUGAACCAACUAGCUGCCCCCAUUCCAUUUUUCUUUAGUGAUGUUGGUUAGCUUUAAAAAUGUCUUUAAUCCUAUAGGAGUAAUGAGGAUGAUCUGUCCUUCUCAGGCAUAGUAUAAUUAGAAACAGAUCUAUGAAUGAUGAAUCAGACUUAUACAAAUUUACAAGUUUAAUUAUAGCUGCCCUUGAAAACACUAAGUUUACUCUUAGAGUCAACCAAGAAUAAGUCUUUACUGAUAAUUCCAAUACUUUAUUUCUAGUUAAAUAGUAGCAGUCUUACAACUUUUUUUUCUUUAUUCAUAUUUAUUCUAGAAAUAAACAGCCACCUGCCUAGCUGUUGGUGGGCUAAAUAAGCCAUUCGUACCUUACAUGCAUCAAAAUAUGGGACAUGUUCCAUAUUAUAGAACACUAAUUUUUCUGCUAUUUUUUCCCCACCAAGAAAUCAUUGCUGGCACAGGCCAUGUGAAUAGUUAAUCUUGUUUCAUUAAAAAAAGAGCAUGAAUGAAUAAACACUGUACUACAAAAGAUUUCUAGUCACUGCCAUGUAAUGGAUAUUCCCCUACCUUUCCCCACCCCCAAAGCAAAUGAGUUUUAGAUUCCCUUACAAGCAAAGCCUAUUCUGACUGCAAGUUACUUCUUUUUAUCACUGGAAUGACUAACAAUGAGGUCUCCUCUCAUAUAAAAUGGUCUUGUGUGCCUCCAUGAAGUCAUGGGGAAUUUAGCAUUCCCUCCUUUUUUUAUCACAUAGAAAUUACAAUUUUUAGUGGAACCAUCAUCGUACAUGACACUAGCUGAGCAACAUUAACUUUAUUUGUUAUCAUUAAUUAAGGAAAUGAAGGUGAAUGACUACAGAUUAAUAAGCAAGAAAGAAUACAUCAAAAUAAAGUAUUCAAUACUUCUGUUCAU